Eriocheir sinensis (Chinese mitten crab) is the source of this 776-nucleotide long non-coding RNA. RefSeq lists it as uncharacterized. NCBI's taxonomy places the organism in Eukaryota, Metazoa, Arthropoda, Malacostraca, Decapoda, Varunidae. The transcript has 2 exons. The record is from RefSeq and is a predicted model, not a curated record.
UGUGUGUGUGUGUGUGUGGGUGAGUGUAGCAUGUGUGCGUGUGUGUGUGGGUGUGGGUGGGUGCGGGUGAGUGUAGUAUGUGUGCGUGUGAUAGACUCGCUUUCCCCCGCCAGCACCCUCCACGCCUGAGAUCGGAGCUCGGGGUUUCAGAGUACGGCUUAAACCCCACACCCUCACUCACCCGGAUGGCGGACAGAACCCCCGAACCCCCGACUGACACCUGGUACCUUUUCAGUGCUGAGUGAACAGGGGUCACGAAUUAUAGGAGAUUUCCCAUCUGUCUCCGCUCCUCCCGGGAAUCGAGCACGGGACCUCUAGGUUGUAAGGCGAGCGCGCUAACCAUUGCCCUCAUUACACUGUGUGGGUGUGGGUGUGCUUUUCAUUACUUAUUUGUGGGCCUCUAGAGCUCCGUGAAGCCAGAAGUUGACGGAUUUCCCAGCUUUGCCUCCUCGUGCUCCUGCGGGUGAAGCCAGGCGAAUAGGAUUAUUACUUGAGCUCGAGAGCCCCUUGCAAGCUUCAUGCUCCCGAGACGACUUCAUCUGCUUACAUGAAAAUCCUGAUGACCAUCCCUGAAGCUGAAGGGCUGGGCGGCGCCGGUCCUCGACUUUGGAAUGACCUUCCGAAAACAUUAUUCAACAGGAGGCCAUGCGUGGACAGGGGUUGAGGAAAUGCGAAUCUUCUCACAACCGCGCGCCAUGAAUGCCUUAAUGUAUAAAUCAUUAAUAAUAUUACUAAUAUGUAUAGUUUCAAGAAGAUAUUAGCGUUGGCAAUUGGAA